UUAAGCGACUAAGCGUACACGGUGGAUGCCCUGGCAGUCAGAGGCGAUGAAGGACGUGCUAAUCUGCGAUAAGCGUCGGUAAGGUGAUAUGAACCGUUAUAACCGGCGAUUUCCGAAUGGGGAAACCCAGUGUGUUUCGACACACUAUCAUUAACUGAAUCCAUAGGUUAAUGAGGCGAACCGGGGGAACUGAAACAUCUAAGUACCCCGAGGAAAAGAAAUCAACCGAGAUUCCCCCAGUAGCGGCGAGCGAACGGGGAGCAGCCCAGAGCCUGAAUCAGUGUGUGUGUUAGUGGAAGCGUCUGGAAAGGCGCGCGAUACAGGGUGACAGCCCCGUACACAAAAAUGCACAUGCUGUGAGCUCGAUGAGUAGGGCGGGACACGUGGUAUCCUGUCUGAAUAUGGGGGGACCAUCCUCCAAGGCUAAAUACUCCUGACUGACCGAUAGUGAACCAGUACCGUGAGGGAAAGGCGAAAAGAACCCCGGCGAGGGGAGUGAAAAAGAACCUGAAACCGUGUACGUACAAGCAGUGGGAGCACGCUUAGGCGUGUGACUGCGUACCUUUUGUAUAAUGGGUCAGCGACUUAUAUUCUGUAGCAAGGUUAACCGAAUAGGGGAGCCGAAGGGAAACCGAGUCUUAACUGGGCGUUAAGUUGCAGGGUAUAGACCCGAAACCCGGUGAUCUAGCCAUGGGCAGGUUGAAGGUUGGGUAACACUAACUGGAGGACCGAACCGACUAAUGUUGAAAAAUUAGCGGAUGACUUGUGGCUGGGGGUGAAAGGCCAAUCAAACCGGGAGAUAGCUGGUUCUCCCCGAAAGCUAUUUAGGUAGCGCCUCGUGAAUUCAUCUCCGGGGGUAGAGCACUGUUUCGGCAAGGGGGUCAUCCCGACUUACCAACCCGAUGCAAACUGCGAAUACCGGAGAAUGUUAUCACGGGAGACACACGGCGGGUGCUAACGUCCGUCGUGAAGAGGGAAACAACCCAGACCGCCAGCUAAGGUCCCAAAGUCAUGGUUAAGUGGGAAACGAUGUGGGAAGGCCCAGACAGCCAGGAUGUUGGCUUAGAAGCAGCCAUCAUUUAAAGAAAGCGUAAUAGCUCACUGGUCGAGUCGGCCUGCGCGGAAGAUGUAACGGGGCUAAACCAUGCACCGAAGCUGCGGCAGCGACGCUUAUGCGUUGUUGGGUAGGGGAGCGUUCUGUAAGCCUGUGAAGGUGUGCUGUGAGGCAUGCUGGAGGUAUCAGAAGUGCGAAUGCUGACAUAAGUAACGAUAAAGCGGGUGAAAAGCCCGCUCGCCGGAAGACCAAGGGUUCCUGUCCAACGUUAAUCGGGGCAGGGUGAGUCGACCCCUAAGGCGAGGCCGAAAGGCGUAGUCGAUGGGAAACAGGUUAAUAUUCCUGUACUUGGUGUUACUGCGAAGGGGGGACGGAGAAGGCUAUGUUGGCCGGGCGACGGUUGUCCCGGUUUAAGCGUGUAGGCUGGUUUUCCAGGCAAAUCCGGAAAAUCAAGGCUGAGGCGUGAUGACGAGGCACUACGGUGCUGAAGCAACAAAUGCCCUGCUUCCAGGAAAAGCCUCUAAGCAUCAGGUAACAUCAAAUCGUACCCCAAACCGACACAGGUGGUCAGGUAGAGAAUACCAAGGCGCUUGAGAGAACUCGGGUGAAGGAACUAGGCAAAAUGGUGCCGUAACUUCGGGAGAAGGCACGCUGAUAUGUAGGUGAAGUCCCUCGCGGAUGGAGCUGAAAUCAGUCGAAGAUACCAGCUGGCUGCAACUGUUUAUUAAAAACACAGCACUGUGCAAACACGAAAGUGGACGUAUACGGUGUGACGCCUGCCCGGUGCCGGAAGGUUAAUUGAUGGGGUCAGCGCAAGCGAAGCUCUUGAUCGAAGCCCCGGUAAACGGCGGCCGUAACUAUAACGGUCCUAAGGUAGCGAAAUUCCUUGUCGGGUAAGUUCCGACCUGCACGAAUGGCGUAAUGAUGGCCAGGCUGUCUCCACCCGAGACUCAGUGAAAUUGAACUCGCUGUGAAGAUGCAGUGUACCCGCGGCAAGACGGAAAGACCCCGUGAACCUUUACUAUAGCUUGACACUGAACAUUGAGCCUUGAUGUGUAGGAUAGGUGGGAGGCUUAGAAGUGUGGACGCCAGUCUGCAUGGAGCCGACCUUGAAAUACCACCCUUUAAUGUUUGAUGUUCUAACGUUGACCCGUAAUCCGGGUUGCGGACAGUGUCUGGUGGGUAGUUUGACUGGGGCGGUCUCCUCCUAAAGAGUAACGGAGGAGCACGAAGGUUGGCUAAUCCUGGUCGGACAUCAGGAGGUUAGUGCAAUGGCAUAAGCCAGCUUGACUGCGAGCGUGACGGCGCGAGCAGGUGCGAAAGCAGGUCAUAGUGAUCCGGUGGUUCUGAAUGGAAGGGCCAUCGCUCAACGGAUAAAAGGUACUCCGGGGAUAACAGGCUGAUACCGCCCAAGAGUUCAUAUCGACGGCGGUGUUUGGCACCUCGAUGUCGGCUCAUCACAUCCUGGGGCUGAAGUAGGUCCCAAGGGUAUGGCUGUUCGCCAUUUAAAGUGGUACGCGAGCUGGGUUUAGAACGUCGUGAGACAGUUCGGUCCCUAUCUGCCGUGGGCGCUGGAGAACUGAGGGGGGCUGCUCCUAGUACGAGAGGACCGGAGUGGACGCAUCACUGGUGUUCGGGUUGUCAUGCCAAUGGCACUGCCCGGUAGCUAAAUGCGGAAGAGAUAAGUGCUGAAAGCAUCUAAGCACGAAACUUGCCCCGAGAUGAGUUCUCCCUGACUCCUUGAGAGUCCUGAAGGAACGUUGAAGACGACGACGUUGAUAGGCCGGGUGUGUAAGCGCAGCGAUGCGUUGAGCUAACCGGUACUAAUGAACCGUGAGGCUUAACCUU
RNAcentral lists this ribosomal RNA (2902 nucleotides) under Escherichia coli. Its description in RNAcentral is "bacterial LSU rRNA". It matches the Rfam family "Bacterial large subunit ribosomal RNA". The record is from RNAcentral. RNAcentral also lists the same sequence under 4 other names. Lineage: Bacteria; Pseudomonadati; Pseudomonadota; Gammaproteobacteria; Enterobacterales; Enterobacteriaceae.